This 431-nucleotide ribosomal RNA is filed under the name uncultured bacterium. RNAcentral's name for it is "partial 16S ribosomal RNA". It matches the Rfam family "Bacterial small subunit ribosomal RNA", at positions 29 to 507 of the family's 1533-position model. The record is from RNAcentral.
AACGAACGCUGGCGGCAGGCUUAACACAUGCAAGUCGAGCGCCCCGCAAGGGGAUCGGCAGACGGGUGAGUAACGCGUGGGAACGUACCUUUUGGUUCGGAACAACUCCGGGAAACUGGAGCUAAUACCGGAUAAGCCCUAACGGGGAAAGAUUUAUCGCCGAAAGAUCGGCCCGCGUCUGAUUAGCUAGUUGGUGAGGUAACGGCUCACCAAGGCGACGAUCAGUAGCUGGUCUGAGAGGAUGAUCAGCCACACUGGGACUGAGACACGGCCCAGACUCCUACGGGAGGCAGCAGUGGGGAAUAUUGGACAAUGGGCGCAAGCCUGAUCCAGCCAUGCCGCGUGAGUGAUGAAGGCCUUAGGGUUGUAAAGCUCUUUUGUCCGGGAAGAUAAUGACUGUACCGGAAGAAUAAGCCCCGGCUAACUUCGUG